This 1580-nucleotide ribosomal RNA is filed under the name Klebsiella aerogenes. RNAcentral describes it as "bacterial SSU rRNA". It matches the Rfam family "Bacterial small subunit ribosomal RNA". The record is from RNAcentral. Lineage: Bacteria; Pseudomonadati; Pseudomonadota; Gammaproteobacteria; Enterobacterales; Enterobacteriaceae.
GUGAUGGGUUGAUUCAAGCCUCUCCAUGCAAGUCGAGCGGUAGCACAGAGAGCUUGCUCUCGGGUGACGAGCGGCGGACGGGUGAGUAAUGUCUGGGAAACUGCCUGAUGGAGGGGGAUAACUACUGGAAACGGUAGCUAAUACCGCAUAACGUCGCAAGACCAAAGUGGGGGACCUUCGGGCCUCAUGCCAUCAGAUGUGCCCAGAUGGGAUUAGCUAGUAGGUGGGGUAAUGGCUCACCUAGGCGACGAUCCCUAGCUGGUCAGAUGGGAUUAGCUAGUAGGUGGGGUAAUGGCUCACCUAGGCGACGAUCCCUAGCUGGUCUGAGAGGAUGACCAGCCACACUGGAACUGAGACACGGUCCAGACUCCUACGGGAGGCAGCAGUGGGGAAUAUUGCACAAUGGGCGCAAGCCUGAUGCAGCCAUGCCGCGUGUAUGAAGAAGGCCUUCGGGUUGUAAAGUACUUUCAGCGAGGAGGAAGGCGUUAAGGUUAAUAACCUUGGUGAUUGACGUUACUCGCAGAAGAAGCACCGGCUAACUCCGUGCCAGCAGCCGCGGUAAUACGGAGGGUGCAAGCGUUAAUCGGAAUUACUGGGCGUAAAGCGCACGCAGGCGGUCUGUCAAGUCGGAUGUGAAAUCCCCGGGCUCAACCUGGGAACUGCAUUCGAAACUGGCAGGCUAGAGUCUUGUAGAGGGGGGUAGAAUUCCAGGUGUAGCGGUGAAAUGCGUAGAGAAUCUGGAGGAAUACCGGUGGGCGAAAGCGGCCCCUUGGACAAAAACUGACCCCUCAGGUGGCGAAAGCGUGGGGUGGCGAAAGCGUGGACCUCUGGACAAAAGACUGACGCUCAGGUGCGGAAGCGUGGGGAGCAAACAGGAUUAGAUACCCUGGUAGUCCACGCCGUAAACGAUGUCGACUUGGAGGUUGUGCCCUUGAGGCGUGGCUUCCGGAGCUAACGCGUUAAGUCGACCGCCUGGGGAGUACGGCCGCAAGGUUAAAACUCAAAUGAAUUGACGGGGGCCCGCACAAGCGGUGGAGCAUGUGGUUUAAUUCGAUGCAACGCGAAGAACCUUACCUACUCUUGACAUCCAGAGAACUUAGCAGAGAUGCUUUGGUGCCUUCGGGAACUCUGAGACAGGUGCUGCAUGGCUGUCGUCAGCUCGUGUUGUGAAAUGUUGGGUUAAGUCCCGCAACGAGCGCAACCCUUAUCCUUUGUUGCCAGCGAUUCGGUCGGGAACUCAAAGGAGACUGCCAGUGAUAAACUGGAGGAAGGUGGGGAUGACGUCAAGUCAUCAUGGCCCUUACGAGUAGGGCUACACACGUGCUACAAUGGCAUAUACAAAGAGAAGCGACCUCGCGAGAGCAAGCGGACCUCAUAAAGUAUGUCGUAGUCCGGAUUGGAGUCUGCAACUCGACUCCAUGAAGUCGGAAUCGCUAGUAAUCGUAGAUCAGAAUGCUACGGUGAAUACGUUCCCGGGCCUUGUACACACCGCCCGUCACACCAUGGGAGUGGGUUGCAAAAGAAGUAGGUAGCUURAACCUUCGGGAGGGCGCUACUAGAUUUGGAUCCAAUGCCCCCGG